GGCUACCCCUACUCAUUUUUAAGUGGAAGAUCGAACAAUUAUAUACGAAUAGUGAUAUUAGAGUCCGUAAAUAUGGACUCGAGCCUACCCCUCACUUUGGUGAGAGCGUGACUUUACGGCCGAGUGGUUAUGCAUAUAUAUGGCUGAGGUUGACUACAGAGUUGGCGGAGAAAAUACAGUUCAAACAUCACAUAAAGAAGUCAUUACUAUUGAUGGAUGCAAGAGGAUCAUUUAACGUAGCUAGCCUAGACCCCAAUAACUUUCAUGAUCAAGGCCAACUUUCAAGAACCAGGCCGUAUACUACAAUUAAUAACAGAGCGAAGAAUAAAUCCAGCACGCGUGAAGCAUUAGUAAAAAUUUGAAGUUUCAACAUCAAUAUUCCCCUACGCAAUUUUAAUUGUGGAUUGCACAUAGUAUUGAAAUAAUUUCCUGAAUAGCAAUUGGAUAUCUGAGUGAAGAGGAAGAGCGAGUCCCAUUUCUUGUUUGUAUUGCUUAUACACAACAUUGAGGAAUUGAUAAUGGCGUAUAAGUUGUCCUUCGACUCCUCCUCACCCCCUGAACAGUAUUUUCUGCAACAUGAUUUCUAUAGAAUCACAAAGGCACGUUUUGUGAUUUGGUAGUUGCUGAGGUCCGACCUGAAAUAAAAUGCCAGAGUAUUUAUUUUUAAUAGCUAGUGUCAUACUCAACAUGGAUAACUUGAUAUUGAAACAGCCCAUAAGGCAAGCUCUUUCUCUCACCUUUCAGAAGCCAUUUUCUGCAACAUGAUUUCUGAAAUUGUAUGUAAUAUGAUAAAUUGCUAGAUGCUAAGUUUGUACCUGAAGUUAGAACCACAGAAGAAAAUGAACCUUUUAUUCAAAAUGUGUUUCUGAUACCCUCUGCUAGAAACAAAAGCAUUAAGAUUGGUGGGUAUCUGAUGAUACUUACCUAGCAUUGAAAAGGCUCGAAGUUGUAUGUAUCAACUUCGUUAAUUGUUUGGACAGAGAAAUCAGGGUCAAGACUCAUCUUGUUCAGAAGAUUGAUGGUAAUUUCUUCAUCUUACAAGAUAUCCCUUCUCUGAUUUGAAGUGCUAGAGCCUUAGGUAGCCUUCUCUCCGAUUCUGUUUUCAUAAGAAAAAUUUCGCCCUGCAUUUACAGAGAAGAUGGGGUGACCAAUUUAUUUUUAUACACACAAACUUGAUGAUGGUCGGUAUCUGGGCUGAGUUGGAGUGAUUAACCGCGUGAGAAUUUUGAAUUUUCCUUUGACGACGUUUAAGGAGAGAUCCGUUUCCUUUAACAUCGUGCAGCCAGCUUUCCACUAAAGAGUUGUCUCCUUUGCGAAGUAGUGAAGUGAAGAUGGAGAACAAGGACACGUGUCCCCUUCCUUAAGAAGUAGUUAUUUGGCCCAGCUAUAGCCUGAUACGUU
Molecule: long non-coding RNA, 1401 nt
Filed under: Citrus maxima (pomelo)
Lineage: Eukaryota; Viridiplantae; Streptophyta; Magnoliopsida; Sapindales; Rutaceae
Description: long non-coding RNA (CMAX_LNC000343)
Source: RNAcentral